GUAUCAAGAAAACUAAUGAAAUGGAAUAUUAUAUUAAUAUGAAUUGGGCUUGGGAUAUGAACCCGAAACAGAUCCUCAAUCGGGCCCAGCCAAACAACAAAGUCGACCCGCAAACUCUCUCCUUGGCUGUUAUUAAUUUGAUCAACUCUGCAACUGCGAACUUCAUUUUUCGGGAUUUUCACGCUUGGACUCAGGCAAGUAUCUUUCUUUACCUAUCAAAUUAUGAGUUCUGAGGAUUUUGCUGCUUGAAUGUAUAUCAAGUUUUCAUGUGUGUACGUUUCUUCCAUUUAAAUCCGCAAUUUAUCUUCCUUGUAUUGUAUGAAGAUCUCUAAAAUAAAAAAAAAUAAAGAGAGAGAGAGAGAGAGAGAUGAAGCAUAUCUGGAAUAGAGAAUACUGCGAUAAUGUAUAAACUGUUUGGUGCAAAAGAUUCUUCUCGUUUGGAUGGUUAGAUUGUGAUUCUUCUGAUAAAUUUCUUUCAGUUAAUCAUCCGUGCUUUUUAACCAAUUUAUGUGUCUGAACUUUAUGAUUUGGGAUGAAACAAUCAAAAAUCCUAAAACUGUGGAGGCGAAAUUAGGUGAUCUAAACAUGGUAUUUGACUAUUUGGAAAUUGGAAUGACUGAUCAUAUUAUGGAAAUUUCACAAGAAACAAGAACUAGAUUUGAGAUUUUUUUAGCAACAAUUUUUUCUGGUUUCCAUGAAACUACAGCUUCAAAUUGGCGCAGGAUGUCUACAAUUGAGCCACGCUUCAGGCCAAGAGCAUGCGCACACACACACUUAUUUAAAAGGAGCAUUUGAUAAAAUCACCUCAGGGAUAGGGAUCUACAAUAUGCCUCAUGGGAUUGGAAAGAAGGAAUAAGAACUUGUUUGCUGUGGUGAUCAAUACGGGAAGAGCUUUGCAGGCUAGUUUUUCUUAUCCAAGUAUUGAUAUCUUGAAAGCUUAGUGAUUCCUGAAUGACUUGAGAUUAGUAGCAUUGAUGCAACCUCCUUAUCAUUUUGUGUUGUUUGGUUUAUGUUUGCUAAUAAGUUAUUUGCAUUUA
Long non-coding RNA from Salvia miltiorrhiza (redroot sage), 1037 nucleotides. RefSeq lists it as uncharacterized. The transcript has 2 exons. NCBI's taxonomy places the organism in Eukaryota, Viridiplantae, Streptophyta, Magnoliopsida, Lamiales, Lamiaceae. The record is from RefSeq and is a predicted model, not a curated record.